GCAGAAGCUGAUGAUGCAUUUUCUCACUUC
This 30-nucleotide non-coding RNA is filed under the name Rattus norvegicus (Norway rat). Lineage: Eukaryota; Metazoa; Chordata; Mammalia; Rodentia; Muridae. The record is from RNAcentral.